CCUGCGGAACGGGGGCCUCUGGAGGGGGGGCAGGGCGUCAGGUGGGGGUGCUACCCGGGUUCGAGAAUGAUACCCUUUACAAGGAUGCGAGACUGAAACGUGGCUUAAAAACAAAAAGAGAAAUCUAUCCAUUUGGAAGGUAAUGUUGGCUCUGGCCAGCAGGGCCGCAUAGGGGGAAGCCGGCCUCCGAGGUGAACCAGCCGGGAGGAAAAGCGGAAAGUGCCUCAGGUGGGGGAUUUGUUAUCUUCACCAGAGAGGCCGGGACUCUGGAGCGAGGGGGCGGGGCCGGGGCGGGGCGGGGACUGAGGGACCGGGCGCUUCUUCGUCCUUCCCAAACCGCCGGGACAAUCCCUGGAGGCUCCUCCAGGUGACAAGAUAAUGGCGGCUCUGGAGGGAGAUGAGGUCAGACAUCCAGUACCUAUAACUACAGCCCCGACUGGCCCCUGCAUUCUCCAUUGGAUGAAACACAGAAAUCUUCAGUGGCACAGCAGACAGCCAGAGAAGUGGCUCUGGCAGCAGUGUGCUGAGCAUCUUGGCAUCUUGGCAUGGCAGAAGCUAUUGUCUGGUUUGGUGGUGAGAGUCCCACACUACUGGGGAAGCUUAGUGACCUAGUUCAGACAACUGUAACCACUGGCUACAAGUAAUUUUGGCUGAGCAGCAGCACACCCUGAUAAAACCAUCUCAGCAGCCAGACUAAAGCAGGCUUCAAAUUAAUUGACAAGCAGGUCAGUGUCUACACCAGUCAUGUGAAGACAUCCUCUGAGAGAAUGGGUGGAUGAGAACAAUUUGAUCCAGCAGCCAUAAAGUAACCUAUGUUCACUAUCCUUACCUUGUUAAUCAUUACCUAUCAUUGUUUCUGUAAAAAUAUAACCUAAUUCUUUAGCCCAUGUCAUUUCCCCUAUAAAUUGUGUUCCCCAAAUCAAUAAACUAAGUCACUGCCCAGCCC
RNAcentral lists this long non-coding RNA (946 nucleotides) under Monodelphis domestica (gray short-tailed opossum). RNAcentral describes it as "lncRNA (ENSMODG00000040728.1)". Lineage: Eukaryota; Metazoa; Chordata; Mammalia; Didelphimorphia; Didelphidae. The record is from RNAcentral.